AUGGGCGCCAGCGGGGGCGGGGAAGACAAGCCCUUCAAUUUCCUCCAGAUCCUCUGCGAGGGCGUCAUAGCCGGAGGCGCCGCCGGGGUCGUGGUGGAGACGGCGCUCUACCCCAUCGACACCAUCAAGACCAGGCUUCAGGCUGCUCGAGCUGGAAGUCAAAUUCAAUGGAAAGGCCUGUAUUCCGGAUUGGGUGGAAAUCUUGUCGGUGUUCUCCCGGCUUCUGCUCUGUUUGUGGGAAUAUACGAACCAACUAAACGGAAGCUACUGGACAUGUUUCCUGAAAAUUUGAGUGCUGUUGCUCAUCUUACUGCAGGUGCUGUUGGAGGGUUGGGUGCCUCUCUCAUUCGUGUCCCCACAGAGGUGGUCAAACAAAGGAUGCAAACUGGUCAAUUCAGGACUGCGCCUGAUGCUGUUCGUCUCAUAGUUGCCAAGGAAGGAUUUAGAGGUCUUUUUGCUGGUUAUGGUUCAUUUUUACUUCGAGAUCUUCCGUUUGAUGCCAUUCAAUUCUGCAUAUAUGAGCAACUUCGAAUUGGUUACAAGCUUAUGGCAAAGAGGGAGCUGAAGGAUCCAGAGAAUGCACUAAUUGGUGCUUUUGCCGGUGCGAUUACUGGCGCUAUAACGACCCCCCUCGAUGUUCUGAAGACAAGGUUGAUGAUUCAGGGGCAAACAAAGCAAUACUCUGGAAUUGUAAGCUGUGCUAAGACCAUCUUGAGAGAGGAAGGUCCCGGCGCCUUUUUGAAGGGCAUUGAGCCUCGAGUUCUGUGGAUCGGCAUCGGCGGAUCCAUAUUCUUCGGCGUGCUGGAGAAGACCAAGUCGGUGCUCGCUGAGAGGAGCAGCCGCAAGGCUGCGCUGGCGGAGAAGGACGAGUGA
RNAcentral lists this ribosomal RNA (873 nucleotides) under Triticum aestivum (bread wheat). RNAcentral's name for it is "partial small subunit ribosomal RNA". The record is from RNAcentral. Lineage: Eukaryota; Viridiplantae; Streptophyta; Magnoliopsida; Poales; Poaceae.